This 105-nucleotide ribosomal RNA is filed under the name uncultured bacterium. RNAcentral's name for it is "partial 16S ribosomal RNA". It matches the Rfam family "Bacterial small subunit ribosomal RNA", at positions 1379 to 1482 of the family's 1533-position model. The record is from RNAcentral.
CCUUGUACACACCGCCCGUCACGGCAUGGGAGUUGGUUCUACCUUAAGACGGCGCGCUAACCGCAAGGGGGGCAGCCGGCCACGGUAGGAUCAGCGACUGGGCCG